This 496-nucleotide long non-coding RNA is filed under the name Equus caballus (horse). RNAcentral's name for it is "lncRNA (ENSECAG00000050686.1)". Lineage: Eukaryota; Metazoa; Chordata; Mammalia; Perissodactyla; Equidae. The record is from RNAcentral.
CCUGUGUUCUUUGUGGAAGGAGCGGUUCUGAAUAUUGGAGAUUUGUCCUCCCUGCCUACCUUCUGAGAGAAGGCAUUGAUGCGUAACUGAACCCUGGACGGGCCAAUCAAGACUCACAAGGAGUGGGUUUCAGGAAACCAAGAUGAUGUGUCCUCAGCCACCUGAAAAAAUACGCAGAAACUCAGGUUACAUCUGGAAUUCAUUCCGUGUUUUCUCUGUCCGUUCCUGAUCAGUUUUCUCACCGCCGUCUCCAAGAAAAUUAGGCGAUCUGGAAAUAGGUGUGCAGUGAACUGGGACAUUUUUGGAAAUCAAGGAAAAGCAGCAAUAGGGGAAGAGAUGGCAUCUUUGUUCUUGAUGGUCUUGCUCUGUAUGCUAUAGACCGAUGCUGCCUGAGAGAACAAGUGACCGAGAGGAGCAGAUGACUACCAGGCUCUAGAUACCUGGAAUCCAGAAAUGAUGGUGCCCUGCUACCCGGGAUCAUUGUCUUAGGCAUGAG